This is a long non-coding RNA of Homo sapiens (human), 2880 nucleotides long. Ensembl annotates it as long intergenic non-protein coding RNA 887. The record is from Ensembl. Lineage: Eukaryota; Metazoa; Chordata; Mammalia; Primates; Hominidae.
AUUUUCUGCUCAGACACCGUUGCUUGCAAAAUUCCACCCAGAAGAUAAGGGAGGGAGUAUCGCUGCAGCGUCCUGCUCUGUGCCUGGUUAUAUUACUGGAUCCUUGUGUUGCAGCCCUAAGAUAGAAGGAUUGUCUCCAUUUCACAGAUGAGAGAGAACUGAUGCGCAGGAGGCUGAAAUUGUCUGAAGUCACACAGCAGCCUCCUCUUAAACAUGACAAAGAAUCCAAGGACUUGUGCUGGGGCUGUCAGCUGCUAUUCUGGUGCCCUGGGGACGAAGAAGGGAUCUGGAGGGAAGACUGUCACCCUCUUGCGAAUGUUUCCAAGAAGCAGCUCAGCAUGGGAGAGAAAAGGGGAGAUCCCAGUUCCAGGAACACCUGGCCAGUGUUUCACCUGUUUAUCGGAGUUGACAGGACCAGCCAGCCCUUUCCCACCUCUCCCCAUCAUGAUGGAUGGGAGCCUGGCCUUUGAGAUUCCUGCGAAGGAAUGACAAAGAACAUCAAGGCUCAAUCCUUGGAACUCUCCAUCACUCAUCUUUAAAUUAGACUUCUCUGCUGACUCUCAGAGUUGUGUAUGCUGAGAAUCCACUGCCUCUAAGACAUCCUGCUUGGCAGGUUCCUAUCUCCCUUCGACUGAGGCAUCGUUUCCAAAUCAGACACUUCUCGUCACCACUAUUGCCCUCCCCUUGUCCAACCCACCUUUGGCUCUUGGCUGGAGUCCGGUGAGUCUCCUAGCUGGCUCUCCCUGUUCUCGUCAUUUCCCAGUAAGUUCCAACCCUGCCUUCAGACUCUUCUGCACACAGCUUCCAGAGUAAUCCUUUCAAAAAGUAAGUCAGAUCCCAUCUUUUCCCUCCCGUCUCACUCUGUCAGCCACAUUCAUUCCAAAGGACCAUGUGGUCCAUGUCCCUGUUCUCUCUGGUUCUCUCACUGCUCUCCUCUGUGCUUACUCUCUCCUGCCUCACAAUGUUUGCACUUACUGUUUCUUCUGCUUGGAACUCUUUCCCUCCAAGACCUUUUUUUUUUGAGACGGAGUCUCGCUCUGUCGCCCAGGCUGGAGCGCAGUGGUGCAAUCUCUGCUCACUGCAAGCUCUGCCUCCCAGGUUCACGUCAUUCUCCUGCCUCAGCCUCCCGAGUAGCUGGGACUACACGCACCAGCCACCAUACCCAGCUCAUUUUUUUUGUAUUUUCAGUAGAGACGGGGUUUCACCAUGUUGGCCAGGAUGGUCUUGAUCUCCUGACCUCGUGAUCCGCCCGCCUCGGCCUCCCUAAGCGCUGGGAUUACAGGUGUGAACCACCGCGCCCGGCCUCCCUCCAAGAUCUUUACUCACGUUGUCACCUUAGUGACGGCUCCCUCCCUAACCAUCCUAUUUAAAAUUGCAGCCCGUUCAACACCCAUUCCUCCUUCUCCAUCCUUGCUCUGCUUCCUCCCUUUGACCUGUCACUCUUUAAUCCAGUGGCAUUCUGAUUCAAUGGUGACUGGGAGCAGGACCUAAGGAGGUGCGUCAUCUGUAGAGAAUUUGAAAAUAAUCGUGAAAUAAACUCAAAGUGGGUUUGCUCUUUAUGAGCCCCGCACACCAGCAAUUCUAAAUUCUGUUAUCAAUAUACUUUCCUGCCAGGGUGGGCCGCCCCCACCGAUUCUCCUCUAUCUUAAUACACUAUGUGUUUCCCUUGUUUAUUUUGCUUAUUGUUCAUUUCCAUGCACUAGAAUAUAAGCUCCGCGAGGGCAGUAUAUUUUGUCUGUUUUGUUCACCACUGUGUCCCUCGUGUCUGCCACAUGGUGUGUGCUCAGUAAGCUUUAGCUGAAUGAAUGAAGUGGUGGAUGUCGACGUUCCCUUAGUUGGGGGUUAUCAGGAGGGCUUCCUGGAUGAAUUGGUGUCUAUAUUGCCUGUCCUUAAAGAGGAGGAAGGUGCUCUAGGCAGAAGGAACAGCAGGUACAAAAGCAACUUGACUGUCAGGGUCAUUAGCUAAGAGUAGGAGUCAGAGGGAUGAGUGGGUGUCGUUCACCAGAAUUUACCCUUCAAAAUGUCAGUGCUUAGUAAAUGAAUGUGUUCCUUUAUUACUAGUUGUUGGAGGGUCCUUGUUGACAUCUUGCAGAGGUCUGGCUGUCACUUUUAAUCAGAAUGGCUAUUCCCCACUCCUGCUGAAGAGCUCCAGGCCUGGCGGGGGUGGGCUGGCGGGCUGUGGUGGUGGUAAGGGCUGUCCCCCAGCACACUGUUAGAACUUUACUUAUCCUCUUGCUUGAAGUGUGGGAGCUGGAGACCAUUCAGGAAGCUGUGGUUACAGUCCCAGACAGGGUCCCUAAAAGCAAGGAGCCAUUCCCAAUGCUUCCUCCUUAGGGAAGCCUUCCCUACUUUCUCUUCCCUCUUCUGGGCAGAGUUUGUACCUUCCUCCUUUUUGCUCUCUGUUUAUUUCUUUAAUUUAACACUUAACAACAUAAUACCAUCUUUAUUUGUUCCAUGUUUGUAUCUUCUACUGAAUGUGGCUUCAAGAACAGAAAGCACAGAACGUGGCACGUUGGAGGAAAUCAGUAAGUGUUUGCUAAAGGUCCAACAAUGAAACAGAACAGAUAUAUCCAGUGCUAUGCCGCGUCAAAAGAGUAUGAGAGGUAUUGUGGUGAUGCUUUUGAAUGCUAAUCAGAAUAAGGAGGGUGACUAGUCCAUAGUUAUAUAGAAUAUAGGAUAUACAGAAUAUACCUUUUUCUGUAACGGGAUGUGUCACUUAACUUUGUUCCUUAAAGCUCCAGAAGCCCAAGGUCACCCACAAUGAUUCAAGUAUUAUCAAUGUUGAGAGCCUGUAAAAGCAUCAAGUAUAUUAUAGUUUCCAAAAAAUUGUGAAUUAGACUGAAAACCAGCAUUUAAAAAAUAAAGUGAUGUUGACUUAAA